Molecule: ribosomal RNA, 265 nt
Filed under: uncultured archaeon
Lineage: Archaea
Description: partial 16S ribosomal RNA
Rfam family: Archaeal small subunit ribosomal RNA
Source: RNAcentral
ACACGACUACAUUAGAUACCCCCGUAGUCCCAGCCCUAAACGAUGCGCGUUAGGUGUAUCGGUGACCACGAGUCACCGAGGUGCCGAAGGGAAACCGUGAAACGUGCCGCCUGGGAAGUACGGUCGCAAGGCUGAAACUUAAAGGAAUUGGCGGGGGAGCACCACAACGGGUGGAGCUUGCGGUUUAAUUGGACUCAACGCCGGGAAGCUCACCGGAUAAGACAGCGGAAUGAUUGCCGGGCUGAAGACCCUGCAUGACCAGCUG